RNAcentral lists this non-coding RNA (1943 nucleotides) under Cryptosporidium parvum. Lineage: Eukaryota; Apicomplexa; Conoidasida; Eucoccidiorida; Cryptosporidiidae. The record is from RNAcentral.
GGAUAACUUAAAUUAAUCAAAUAGAAAUUUAAGGCAAUCAUUAAACUUUUAAGGCAAAUCUGCUGGGUUGGACAAAACCCUUGACUACUUUAGUCAUUGAGUUAACGCUACUCAAACGAGCUAGUUGUGUUAUUAAAAGAAUAUGCAUUCAUCAUCUCUUUGAUAUUUCCAAGCAUCUCUCAACAUCUCUCUAUAUCUAUAAACCUUCGUUUCACUAUUUCCUAUUCUAAAUAUAAUGUUAUACCGUGACUUUGAAAUUCUUUGAAGUCUUGGUAGCUAUACAAGUAAAGGAGAAUAGCAUAUUGGCACCGUGGGAAAAUGUGAUAGGUGAGAUGCCACUCCCAAGCAGCAAAUGGCCAAAUAUAGUUUGAUUAAUCAGUAUUUAAGAUGAAUUGAGCCAGAAUUGUGAUAUUUUCAUCAGUAAAUAGCACUAUUUAUUCAAAUAAGCAAAAAAGUGACUUAACAUAUUGUUAAAAAAAAAAAUCACUUUAGAGAUUAUCUUCAGAGAGACUCAGUCCAUGAGACUUAUGCUGUGGAGUUGUCUACACUUAGUAAAAAGCUCAUUGAUUGAUAUAUGAGGAAGUAUCAAUCUGGUUUGGCAUUUCAGCAAUGUUGACUUCGAAUCUACUCUGUACGUCGUUGAGUACUUGAGAGUCAGUUUGAGAAGAGACCAUGGUAAUUGCAAGACCUUUUGUACCAAAUCUACCGGCUCUUCCGACUCUAUGAAGAUAAGAAUCUGUAUUCUCUGGCAUAUCGUAAUUAAUUACAAUAUUUACUCUCUCAAUAUCAAUACCUCUUCCAAAUAAGUCGGUUGCUACCAUAAUUCUUUUCUCAAAGUUUUUGAAUUGUUGGUAUCUUGAAAUUCUUUCUUGCUGGCUAAGAGCUGCAUGAAUACAAAUUGAUGGAAAGCUACAUUCUGUAAGAAGCUUAUGAAGUGCUUGGGCUCUAGAGACACUUUUGACAAAGAUAAUCACCUGGUUAAACUCUAAUUGAUCGAGUAAAUCAUUAAGCUUUCUAUUUUUUUCAGAUUCACCCAACUUUACAUAGUAUUGUAGUAAACCAUGUAAUGUCAAUUUUGUCUCGUCAUCAACGAAAAUCUCAACAGGAUUCUGCAUAAAUUUUCUGCAUACAUCUCUAAUCUCCUUUGUCAUUGUAGCACUGAACAUCAUUACCUGCUUCUUUCUUGGAGUACUCAUGAAGAUCUCUUGGACGUCUUUUCUCAUGUCAAGAGACUCUAGACAUUUAUCGCAUUCAUCCAAAACAAAAUGAGCAAUACCCUCAGUCACUAACUUCUUCUGUCUAAUUAACGCAAUUAUUCUUCCAGGCGUACCAAUCAAAAUAUUUGGUGUAGAGUUUGAAAGCAUAUCUAUAUCCUUUUGUAUGGGGAUGCCUCCAUAAACUACCUGAGGCUUCACAUUCUUGAGGUAUUUUGAAAAUCUAUCAAACUCAUUCUUCACCUGGAAAGCUAACUCCCUAGUAUGGCCAAUGCAAAUGCAUUCAACAUUCUUACUCUCUUCAUCAGGAUUUAACUGCUGGAGGAUCGACAAUACAAAAACUGCUGUCUUUCCCAUUCCCGAUUUAGCUUGACAUAAAAUGUCAACACCUGUGAUAGCAUGGGGAAUUGUCUCAUGCUGCACCUCAGAAGGAUGCUCAAACCCUGCAUCACCUAUGGCUCUAAUUAAUUCAGGCUUUAAGAAAAAGUCCCUAAAUCCGGAGGCGUGAAUAGCUACAUAAUUACCUCUACCCACCUUAGAUCCCUCAUCUGCUCUAGACUCCUCCUCAAUUCUUGUUGUAGUCUCCUCCUCUUCGUAGUCUACUAAUUCCUCAGUAUUUUGAACAGACAUUCUAACAACUUAAUUUAAUUAUAAAUACAACUAAUGUACUUAUUACUUUCUCUGGAAUUUUUACGCCAAAAAAGUGGUCCGGUAUUUGUGCCAGUCAAG